Molecule: ribosomal RNA, 482 nt
Filed under: uncultured Gammaproteobacteria bacterium
Lineage: Bacteria; Pseudomonadati; Pseudomonadota; Gammaproteobacteria
Description: bacterial SSU rRNA
Rfam family: Bacterial small subunit ribosomal RNA
Source: RNAcentral
ACUAGCAGUAAGAGUUUGAUCAUGGCUCAGGACGAACGCUGGCGGCAGGCUUAACACAUGCAAGUCGAACGCACUCUUCGGAGUGAGUGGCAGACGGGUGAGUAACGCGUGGGAACAUGCCCUUCGGUACGGAAUAGCUCAGGGAAACUUGGAUUAAUACCGUAUACGACCUCCGGGUGAAAGAUUUAUCGCCCUGGGAGGGGCCCGCGUCCGAUUAGCUAGUUGGUGGGGUAACGGCUCACCAAGGCGACGAUCGGUAGCUGGUCUGAGAGGAUGAUCAGCCACACUGGGACUGAGACACGGCCCAGACUCCUACGGGAGGCAGCAGUGGGGAAUAUUGGACAAUGGGGGCAACCCUGAUCCAGCGACGCCGCGUGUGUGAAGAAGGCCUGCGGGUUGUAAAGCACUUUUGGCGGGGACGAUGAUGACGGUACCCGCAGAAUAAGCCCCGGCUAACUUCGUGCCAGCCGCCGCGGUAAUAC